This is a long non-coding RNA of Oryctolagus cuniculus (rabbit), 1164 nucleotides long. The record is from Ensembl. Lineage: Eukaryota; Metazoa; Chordata; Mammalia; Lagomorpha; Leporidae.
AUGCUAGAGACCAGGAUGGAGCCCUGGGGACCCAGAUGGUGCCCUGUGCACCUGCUAGAGGCCUGGAUGGAUCUUUGGGGGAACCAGAUGGAGCCCUCGAGACCCGGAUGGAGCCCCUGGGGGCCCCGUGCCCCUUCUGGGGACCCGGAUGGAGCACCUGGGGGCCCCGUGCAUCUGCUGGAGGCCUGGCUGGAGCCCCUGGGGGCCCAGUGUACCUUCUGGGGACCCGGAUGGAGUCCCUGUGGGCCCCGUGCAUCUGCUGGAGGCCCGGAUGGAGCCCCUGGGGGCCCCGUGCCCCUUCUGGGGACCCGGAUGCAGCCCCUGGGGACCCCGUGCAUCUGCUGGGGACCUGGAUGGAGCCCCUGGGGGCCCCGUGCACCUUCUGGGGACCCGGAUGGAGCCCCUGGGGGCCCCGUGCAUCUGCUGGAGGCUGGGAUAGAGCCCCUGGGGGCCCCGUGCACCUGCUGGAGGCCUGGAUGGAACACCUGGGGGCCCCGUGCACCUUCUGGGGACCCGGAUGGAGCCCCGGGGGCCCCGUGCAUCUGCUGGAGGCCUGGAUGGAGCCCCUGGGAGCUCCGUGCACCUGCUGGAGGCCUGAAUGGAGCCACUGGGGACCCCGUGCACCUUCUGGGGACCCGGAUGGAGCCCCUGGGGGCCCCGUGCAUCUGCUGGAGGCCUGGAUGGAGCCCCUGGGGGCCCCGUGCAUCUGCUGGAGGCCAGGAUGGAGCCCCUGGGGGCCCCGUGCACCUUCUAUGGACCCGGAUGGAGCCCCUGGGGGCCUCCUGCACCUUCUGGGGACCCGGAUGGAGCCCCUGGGGGCCCCGUGCACCUUCUAGUGACCCGGAUGGAGCCCCUGGGGGCCCCGUGCCCCUUCUGGGGACCCGGAUGGAGCCCCUGGGGGCCCCGUGCACCUGCUGCAGGCCUGGAUGGAGCCCCUGGGGGCCCCAUGCACCUGCUAGAGACCCUAAUGGAGCCCCUGGGGUCCCUGUGCACCUUCUAGGGACCUGGAUAGAGCCCCUGGGGGCCCCGUGCAUCUGCUGGAGACCUGGAUGGAGCCCCUGGGGGCCCUGUGCAUCUGCUGGAGGCCUGGAUGGAGUCCCUGGGAGCCCAGUGCACCUUCUGGGGACCCGGAUGGAGCCCCUGGGGGCCCCGUGCACCUGCUAG